Molecule: non-coding RNA, 361 nt
Organism: Comamonas testosteroni KF-1
Lineage: Bacteria; Pseudomonadati; Pseudomonadota; Betaproteobacteria; Burkholderiales; Comamonadaceae
Source: Rfam
GAAGUGCGCCAGACCGCCGCUGGUACUAGCCGAAAGGCCAACGCUUGCGUUGGGUCGAAAGACCGUACUGGAGGAACGUCCGGACUGCAUAGGGCGGCGUAGCAGCUAACAGCUGUCCACCGUGAGGUGAGGAUCAGAGCAACAGAGACGAGUCUGGCAGGAGUGCCGCAAGGCAGACCAACCAGGGUGAAACGGGCAAUCUCUACGCGCAGCAAUACCAAGUAGGCACACGUUGACGGGGCCCCCGGAGUGUGCGGGUAGGUAGCACCGAGCCAUCAGGCGACUGAUGGCCAAGAUUAAUGGCGGUCACAUGGCGGGCAACCGUUGUGCACAGAAUCCGGCUUAUCGGCGCACUUCACAC